CAGAUUUCCAGUGUUUGUUUAUGCCUGCUUGAUGGAAAGUACGGUUUGCAUCUGUCUCUUGGUGAGGAUCCAGCCUCCUGGGGACAGACUAGACCACAACAUACUUUCCUUUUGAGUAAUAAUGCAUAUGGAGCAUGGAGGUCAGUGUGGACACUCUCCAGAAGCUCACUAGGUGACUGCAAAUGUGUGGAGUACCAUGGCAGAGUUUACAUUGCGACCAGUUACCAAAGCUAUUUCAAACAUCACUGUCCUGUAUUGCAAUCUUCUCUAGACUUAUCUUUAGUAAUGCAUCUCCUUGAUGCAACAGCAUUGUUACUGGCCCAUUGUCUUUAGGUGAAUCCUUACAACAUGAGGGGUGAAUCAAUGUCAGUGUAGCCUCCUGUUUGCUUAGUACUGUAUUUACUGUGUGGAGAAAAGGACUAGUGUUCUGGUCAUGCCUGCCAUAAUUGUAAUUACUUGACGUAGUUUUACUGAGCAAAGUUUACUCCAAGUUUCUUGAUCUGAAAACACUCUUUUCAUGUGCUCAUAAGAUGAGCACAUCUUAUUCAGUAAGAGUUUCAUUACUAAAGCAGUAGAUUCAGUAGUCAUGGAUUUGAUGAAGACCAGUGCUGUCUAAAAGACAAGUUGUAUGCUUUAGCAAAAUGUGUUUAUCAACUUAACGUCUGUACUGUUUCCAGAAUGUUGAGAAGUAUACUGAGUAUCUUGAUGAAAUGAAUUUGUAUAAUGAGAAAAGAAUAUCAGUAUGGUACUGUUUAAUUAACAACAACGAAGAAGACAAAAAAAAAAUUUUCCUCCAGAUAUGACCCAAUUUCCACUUUUGGAGUAGAUGGCAGAUAUUUUAAAUGGGUGCUGUAGUUUUUAUGCUGAUGUAUUAGCUGAUUACUUAAAGAAUGCGUUCAUUCAUAUGAUACAUUCCAUUGCUUUGUCAUGUUUUGUCAAUUUGAGUUGACUUAUAAUGUGUGCUGUGUAACAUGAUGUGAUACCACAUCAUUUGACAUAAAUUGGCAUAAUAUAAUUUAGCAGGUUAGAAAAGUAAGGUAAACAAAAUUGUGUCUGUGAUGAAAUUCAUGUUGCUCAUUUGAGGAAAUGUGAAAAAUUUUUGCUGUAGAAUAAAAGUAUAUUACAAAUUACA
This 1132-nucleotide long non-coding RNA is filed under the name Numida meleagris (helmeted guineafowl). RNAcentral's name for it is "lncRNA (ENSNMEG00000005691.1)". The record is from RNAcentral. Lineage: Eukaryota; Metazoa; Chordata; Aves; Galliformes; Numididae.